Molecule: long non-coding RNA, 658 nt
Filed under: Lathyrus oleraceus (garden pea)
Lineage: Eukaryota; Viridiplantae; Streptophyta; Magnoliopsida; Fabales; Fabaceae
Description: Pisum sativum (pea) long non-coding RNA (PSAT_LNC033394)
Source: RNAcentral
UGAGUGAGAGGAGUUUUAGCACAACAAGAUUGAAGAUCUAAUGGUGAACUUCAACAGCUUUAGGAAACGUGUGUGUGGUGAGGGUCAGAGAGAAAGCUCAUAGAAGAUUGCAAGGAGCUUGAGGGAAUUGAGAGUGAUGAUGCCAAGGGUUGUGAAAUGGUGAUGGAGAUGCAAUUUUAUAGGUGACAGGUUUGGAUGAGUUUAGGUUUGGAGUUAGUUGUAAUUAGGUUUAGGAUUAGCUUAGGAGUUAGUUGGUGUGAACUCACUGAGUCGAAUCUAAACUCAGUUAGUUGGGGGGGUUUAGUGACUCAGUUAAUUGGUUAUUUUAGUUAAUGUUAGGUGACUUAUGACUGGCUAAAAUAGGUUAGAACUUAAGUGGAAUUAGGUUUUAAUUUUGACUGAUGACCUACUAUUUACUUGGCUCAGGUGUAGAUGACUUGCAACUGUAGGUAAAUGGAAGUUCAAGUAUGAUGCUUUGACAUGUUGAGUUUUUUGUGAGCCAAACUCUGCUAUAGAUUCUGCUAUGUAUUCUGACUUGUGGAGGUUUGUACUGCUAUUUGUUUGGAACUCAUUGUUAUGCUUGUAUUAUGUGAACUGUUAUGGUGCAUUGGUGAUGGCCAAAGGUUGAUGUGAAUAGGUUUGGUGUUUGGUCCUGUCU